AAGGGAUACUAAGAAUUUAAGUU
RNAcentral lists this small nuclear RNA (23 nucleotides) under Arabidopsis thaliana (thale cress). RNAcentral's name for it is "snRNA_05737". Lineage: Eukaryota; Viridiplantae; Streptophyta; Magnoliopsida; Brassicales; Brassicaceae. The record is from RNAcentral.